Molecule: small nucleolar RNA, 107 nt
Filed under: Gossypium barbadense (sea-island cotton)
Lineage: Eukaryota; Viridiplantae; Streptophyta; Magnoliopsida; Malvales; Malvaceae
Also listed under: 1 other name
Description: Plant small nucleolar RNA R71
Rfam family: Plant small nucleolar RNA R71
About the family: R71 is a member of the C/D box family of snoRNAs containing the C (UGAUGA) and D (CUGA) box motifs.
Source: Rfam by way of RNAcentral
AUACCAUGAUAAGGGCUUUUUUGUAAUAACUCUUUAAACAGUUCCCAUUCCUCAUACAAGGACUCUUCAUUGGAUUGCUGAAACAUAGUAAUUUCAUAUCUAAGCUU